GGGUUGUGAGGUUAAGCGACUAAGCGUACACGGUGGAUGCCCUGGCAGUCAGAGGCGAUGAAGGACGUGCUAAUCUGCGAUAAGCGUCGGUGAGGUGAUAUGAACCGUUAUAACCGGCGAUUUCCGAAUGGGGAAACCCAGUGUGUUUCGACACACUAUCAUUAACUGAAUCCAUAGGUUAAUGAGGCGAACCGGGGGAACUGAAACAUCUAAGUACCCCGAGGAAAAGAAAUCAACCGAGAUUCCCCCAGUAGCGGCGAGCGAACGGGGAGGAGCCCAGAGCCUGAAUCAGUGUGUGUGUUAGUGGAAGCGUCUGGAAAGGCGUGCGAUACAGGGUGACAGCCCCGUACACAAAAAUGCACAUAUUGUGAGCUCGAUGAGUAGGGCGGGACACGUGGUAUCCUGUCUGAAUAUGGGGGGACCAUCCUCCAAGGCUAAAUACUCCUGACUGACCGAUAGUGAACCAGUACCGUGAGGGAAAGGCGAAAAGAACCCCGGCGAGGGGAGUGAAAAAGAACCUGAAACCGUGUACGUACAAGCAGUGGGAGCCUCUUAAUGGGGUGACUGCGUACCUUUUGUAUAAUGGGUCAGCGACUUAUAUUCUGUAGCAAGGUUAACCGAAUAGGGGAGCCGAAGGGAAACCGAGUCUUAACUGGGCGUUAAGUUGCAGGGUAUAGACCCGAAACCCGGUGAUCUAGCCAUGGGCAGGUUGAAGGUUGGGUAACACUAACUGGAGGACCGAACCGACUAAUGUUGAAAAAUUAGCGGAUGACUUGUGGCUGGGGGUGAAAGGCCAAUCAAACCGGGAGAUAGCUGGUUCUCCCCGAAAGCUAUUUAGGUAGCGCCUCGUGAAUUCAUCUCCGGGGGUAGAGCACUGUUUCGGCAAGGGGGUCAUCCCGACUUACCAACCCGAUGCAAACUGCGAAUACCGGAGAAUGUUAUCACGGGAGACACACGGCGGGUGCUAACGUCCGUCGUGAAGAGGGAAACAACCCAGAC
Molecule: ribosomal RNA, 999 nt
Filed under: Escherichia coli
Lineage: Bacteria; Pseudomonadati; Pseudomonadota; Gammaproteobacteria; Enterobacterales; Enterobacteriaceae
Description: partial 23S ribosomal RNA
Rfam family: Bacterial large subunit ribosomal RNA
Source: RNAcentral